AAUGCUUCAAAGAGUAUUGUAGUUACACCACCCAGAUGUGAAAGAACAUAUUGCUACAAACGUGCAGAACACCAAAACAAGAAAACAUCACUUUCUCCUUCUUCAGCUGACUUCUCCAGCUCUUCCUCUGAGCCGUUUACAGACCGCACUUUAUCCUGCACUUUAGAUUCACCAGGCAGAAAAAACAUUUCUAGAGACAAAAUAAAUAGGACGGCUGAGGAAAAGAAAAAAUCUUCUGAUGAUGGAUGUUCCUCGGAUCCACCAAAACCCAGUUCACUGUCUGAUGUUUACAGCAAAACAAGAAAAAAACCGUUAGCAGCUACAAAUGACAGUAUGAAAAUUCAGCCAAUUGUACUGUCUAGUGAUGACGAUGAGGCUGCCCA
This is a long non-coding RNA of Nanorana parkeri, 383 nucleotides long. RefSeq lists it as uncharacterized. The record is from RefSeq and is a predicted model, not a curated record. NCBI's taxonomy places the organism in Eukaryota, Metazoa, Chordata, Amphibia, Anura, Dicroglossidae. The transcript is spliced from 2 exons.